RNAcentral lists this ribosomal RNA (442 nucleotides) under uncultured bacterium. RNAcentral describes it as "SSU rRNA". It matches the Rfam family "Bacterial small subunit ribosomal RNA", at positions 26 to 518 of the family's 1533-position model. The record is from RNAcentral.
AGAGCGAACGCUGGCGGCAGGCUUAACACAUGCAAGUCGAGCGCCCCGCAAGGGGAGCGGCAGACGGGAGAGUAACACGUGGGAACGUACCUUUCGGUUCGGAACAACCCAGGGAAACUUGGGCUAAUACCGGAUACGCCCGCAAGGGGAAAGAUUUAUCGCCGGAAGAUCGGCCCGCGUCUGAUUAGCUAGUUGGUGAGGUAACGGCUCACCAAGGCGACGAUCAGUAGCUGGUCUGAGAGGAUGAUCAGCCUCACUGGGACUGAGACACGGCCCAGACUCCUACGGGAGGCAGCAGUGGGGAAUAUUGGACAAUGGGCGCAAGCCUGAUCCAGCCAUGCCGCGUGGGUGAUGAAGGCCCUAGGGUUGUAAAGCCCUUUCGGCGGGGAAGAUAAUGACGGUACCGCAGAAGAAGCCCGGCUAACUUCGCGCCAGCAGCCGC